This 481-nucleotide ribosomal RNA is filed under the name uncultured bacterium. RNAcentral's name for it is "partial 16S ribosomal RNA". It matches the Rfam family "Bacterial small subunit ribosomal RNA", at positions 8 to 507 of the family's 1533-position model. The record is from RNAcentral.
AGAGUUUGAUCAUGGCUCAGGAUGAACGCUGGCGGUAUGCUUUACACAUGCAAGUCAUACGAGAGUUUUUAACUCAAGUGGCGGACGGGUGAGUAACACGUAAGAAUUUGCCUUUAGGAGGGGGAUAACAGCUGGAAACGGCUGCUAAUACCCCAUAUGCUUUCGAGUGAAAUGGAUUUUUCCGCCUGAAGAGAAGCUUGCGGCUGAUUAGCUUGUUGGUGAGGUAAUGGCUCACCAAGGCGACGAUCAGUAUCUGGUUUGAGAGGACGAUCAGACACACUGGAACUGAGACACGGUCCAGACUCCUACGGGAGGCAGCAGUGGGGAAUUUUCCGCAAUGGGCGAAAGCCUGAUCCAGCCAUGCCGCGUGAGUGAAGAAGGCCUUCGGGUUGUAAAGCUCUUUCGGCGGGGAAGAAAUUGCACGGGUUAAUACCCUGUGUAGAUGACGGUACCCGAAUAAGAAGCACCGGCUAACUCUGUG